CCUACCGGCCGCGACUCCGGGCUUGGCCCCGGCCCUAGCUCGUCGGCUGUGUAUUGCGCGUGGAGGCUGCAGUCACGGUGGCGCCCGCGGGGACGGAGGAGGGAAUGAGUGAAGAGGAGCAAGGCUCCGGCACUACCACGGGCUGCGGGCUGCCUAGUAUAGAGCAAAUGCUGGCCGCCAACCCAGGCAAGACCCCGAUCAGCCUUCUGCAGGAGUAUGGGACCAGAAUAGGGAAGACGCCUGUGUACGACCUUCUCAAAGCCGAGGGCCAAGCCCACCAGCCUAAUUUCACCUUCCGGGUCACCGUUGGCGACACCAGCUGCACUGGUCAGGGCCCCAGCAAGAAGGCAGCCAAGCACAAGGCAGCUGAGGUGGCCCUCAAACACCUCAAAGGGGGGAGCAUGCUGGAGCCGGCCCUGGAGGACAGCAGUUCUUUUUCUCCCCUAGACUCUUCACUGCCUGAGGACAUUCCGGUUUUUACUGCUGCAGCAGCUGCUACCCCAGUUCCAUCUGUAGUCCUAACCAGGUAUCUGUGUCCCCUGACUACCUGAGGUGGGUGGAGGAAGGGGUUCUGGUUUUUGGUCCCUCAGUCCUUGGACCCAAGCUGGUCAGGCAUGAGGAAGUCUGAGAAUAAACAGAAUGGAAUAGUUGGGAACCAGAACUUGAAGAAAUCACAGCAGCUGGUAAGCUCUUGGGACAAGAGGUCAUUUGUGAUUUUCAGACAGCCUUAUGAAUGAUGUCCGACCAUGUUUAAGGGUCUUGCAGGUCCCAUUUUCUUCUGGGUUGACCACAUGUCAGUUCUGUGUUUGAGGCCCGUCAGGCACUUCUGGGACUGGAAAUACAGCUCUUCUCCCACUGUCCUGGCUUAGAUGAUACCCAAGUGUUCCAGAAUGGAAAUGGGCUGGGGCCUGGAGAAGGCCUCCCUUGAGUGGGAGGGGGAAGGAAGCCGGCUAGAGCAGGAGGGAGCAGGCUAGAUGUGUGGACAGACAGCUGCCCACCCGGUGGAAUCGGGAGAUGGUAGUCAGGAAUCUAAAGUAGUGGUUAGGUUUGGAGCUCAUGGGCAGGCUCAGAUGGAACCCUUCACCUCAACUUUGGCCCUGUGCCUUUUCCUUCA
This 1114-nucleotide small RNA is filed under the name Pan troglodytes (chimpanzee). RNAcentral's name for it is "retained intron". The record is from RNAcentral. Lineage: Eukaryota; Metazoa; Chordata; Mammalia; Primates; Hominidae.